Molecule: long non-coding RNA, 5694 nt
Organism: Drosophila gunungcola (fruit fly)
Lineage: Eukaryota; Metazoa; Arthropoda; Insecta; Diptera; Drosophilidae
Exons: 8
Source: RefSeq, a predicted model, not a curated record
UAAUCAAAUUCCGCAAAGACCCUCGGGCACAAAUAGGUAGAUUGGUUUCUAACCAACCUACUACAACGCGAAAAGACGCUUCUUGCGAUGUAAUCGCAAACACACAUAUUAAUUAAUUAAUUAAUUAAUAUACGCAGACUAUAAUUAAAGUGAAGACAAUGAGUCAAAACGAUAUCCGCAUGCAACGUCAGCGCGAGCAAGACGAGAGACGGCUCUCAUCGAUCAGAAAUAAUGCAACCGAAAAUUAUGCAAACCCAGACAAUACGCGGUCAAUCACCCCCAGUUCGACUGACCUCUUGAACGUAACGAGCGAGAGAGCGCGCUCUUGCUCUCCCGCGCUACCAUCGAUGUCUCUAAAGCCAAAAAGUUCCGAGUGUACUCCAAUGCAUGUAUGCACUGACCUACGCUUAUCAGCAAUAAGUAGCACAGCAGUGUCUUUAACCACUGCAACGGUAACAACAACAACAACAACAGCAGCAACGGUAUCGACCAACCGUUUAUUAUCAUCAUCAGCAACUUCGCCAUCGAUAAACAAACCCGUAGCCAACACAAAAACGGCGUUCGCUGCGCUGCCCGAAAAAUACACAAUAACCAACGAAAAUAAAAGGCCGGUUGUGCAGACUGGUAUGGAUCGCUACAUCCAAAUCAAAAGAAAGCUGAGCCCCCUAAAUUCUAAGCGAAAAAUAACCCGUGCCAAUUAUAAAUCAGCUGAGACUGAAACGCCCAUUAAUACAAACAGAUUUAAAAUUUUGGAAGACGCUACUGACGAAGAAGUUGACGAAGCUACCGAAGCUGAGAAGAAGAAACCGAAGCCCCCCCAAUAUACAUCCGGGAGAAAAGCUGCAAUGCACUUGUUAACAAAAUAGUUGAGCUUAUUGGAAAAGAUAACUUUCAUAUAAUUCCCCUUGUGAAGGGCAGCAUACACGAAACAAAAGUUCAAACGAAGAACGAAGACAAUUACCGAGUGUUGUCUAAAUAUCUUAAUGACAAGAAAAAGAACUUCUACACGUACCAACUUAAAAGCAGCAAGGGUCUGCAAGUUGUACUUAAAGGAAUUGAAUCCGAUGUAACACCUGAAGAAGUAAAAAAUGCACUACAAGACAAAGGUUUAAACACUAAGACAGUCUUCAAUAUCUUGAACAGGGAUAGGAAACCGCAACCACUCUUCAAGAUAGAGCUCGAACCGGAAACUAAGCCCCUUAAUAGAAACGAAGUGCACCCCAUAUACAAACUUCAGUUCCUUCUCCACCGUAGAAUCACAGUAGAGCAACCACAUAAGCGCAAUGGGCCGGUACAAUGUACGAACUGCCAAGAAUAUGGCCAUACAAAGUCAUACUGCACACUACGCCCAGUGUGUGUAGUUUGUGGAGACCUUCAUGACUCAGCACUCUGCCCAGCGAGCAAAAACGACUCCAAUGUAAAAAAGUGCGGCAACUGUGGCGGCAAUCAUACAGCCAACUAUAGAGGUUGCCCAAUAUACAAGGAGCUAAAAAGUCGCAUCCAUCAACGAGGAACCACUGCCCGCUCCCACAACGCACAGCUCACAGCAUCAAAAUCAAACCCUGAAGUCUUCCUUUCGACUGCACCCAGCUCCUCACUAGGACCCGUAACCCUCAACAAAAAUGUGACAUUUGCAAGCGCUCUAAAAUUAGGACUGGCUCCUCCUGUAUCUAAAACUUCAUUUCCACAAGCAGCAUGUCUAGAACACAACAUGACUCAACAACGUCAACCAACGGAGCAGACACAAAGCAACUUUGAAGCAAUGAUAGUUAGCCUGCAACAAAGCCUAAUGGAGUUUAUGUCGUUUAUGCGCACAACUAUGCAAGAUUUAAUGCGAAACCAAAAUCUUCUGAUUCAAAUGCUGGUCUCACAACAACCAAAAUAAUGACGUCCCUACGAAUUUCUUCGUGGAACGCUAACGGCGUCUCACAGCACAAACUUGAGUUAACUCAAUUUCUACUCGACAAUCACAUCGAUGUAAUGCUACUUUCAGAAAACACACCUUACAAACAGAUAAAAUUUUCUAAUAAGAGGCUACUCAUUCUAUGGAACAAAUCAUCCGGACGGUAAAGCACAUGGUGGGACUGGCAUUCUAAUCAGAAGUCGUAUUAAGCACCACUAUUAUAACAAAACUGCUAAAAACUAUCUACAGGCCACAUCUAUAAGCAUACAACUGAUUAAUGGCAACCAACUAACUCUAGAAUCGGACAGGAGUCAAAAUGCUAUUUAGGCAUCUCAUCCCUCGCCUCAGUCACACCAGUAGGGAUUUGUCAAGGUGCCAGGAAACAUUUGAGACAGUCUCAUCCUCAUCAUAGCUUCGUCAGCUGGAUCUGGACAAAAGCACGAGACGCAUCUGUGGCAGAUAUGUGUAGAUUUAACUUUUUUAUUUGUGCAAAUGCUUGUUAAUUGUGUUUUUUUUUAUUAUGUUUCAGAGUUUCGUCCCUCGCCGCAGUCAAGUCAGAGGGAAUCGGACAGGAGUUAAAACGCUUUUAGGCAUCUCAUCCCUCGCCUCAGUCACACCAGUAGGGAUUUGUCAAGGUGCCAGGAAACAUUUGAGACAGUCUCAACCCUCAUCAAAGCUUCGUCAGCUGGAUCUGGACAAAAGCACGAGACGCAUCUGUGGCAGAUAUGUGUAGAUUUAACUUUUUUUAUUUGUGCAAAUGCUUGUUAAUUGUGUUUUUUUUUAUUAUGUUUCAGAGUUUCGUCCCUCGCCGCAGUCAAGUCAGAGGGAAUCGGACAGGAGUUAAAACGCUUUUAGGCAUCUCAUCCCUCGCCGCAGUCACACCAGUAGGGAUUGGUCAAGGAGCCAAAACGCUAUUUUUGCAUCUCAUCCCUCGCCGCAGUCACACCAGUAGGGAUUGGUCAAGGAGCCAAGAAACAUUUUAGACAGUCUCAACCCUCAUCAUAGCUUCGUCAGCUGUAUUUGGACAGGGAGCAUCUGUGGCAGAUAUGUGUAGAUUUUAAUUUUUGUAUUUGUGCAUAUGCUUCUUAAUUGUGUUUUUUUAUUUUGUUUCAGAGUUUCGUCCCUCGCCGCAGUCAAGUCAGAGGGAAUCGGACAUAGUAUACUGCCCCCCUCGUUUCAAUAUAACCGAAUAUGAGUUUUUGCAGUUCUUCAACACAUUAGGUGACCAUUUUAUAGCAGCAGGAGACUACAAUGCCAAACACACACACUGGGGAUCUCGCCUCGUGACUCCAAAAGGAAGCAGCUUUACAAUGCAAUCAUAAAAUCCAACAACAAGCUUGACUAUGUCUCUUCUGGUAGACCAACAUACUGGCCGACAGACCCAAAGAAACUACCCGAUCUUAUUGACUUAGCGAUAACCAAAAAUAUUCCCAAAAAUCUUAUAAGCGCCGAAUGCCUUUCGGAUCUUUCAUCUGAUCACUCGCCGGUCUUAUUUCAUCUUCUCCAACAACCAGGAACAUUAGAACACCAGUUUAACCUGACCUCACAAAAAACCAACUGGCUCAAGUUUAGAAAAUAUAUUAGCACACAUAUUGAGCUAUGUCCUCGCCUCAACGACGAAGCUGACAUAGACAGCUUUGUAACUACACUGGAGUCCGUACUCGUCACUGCGGCUCGAGUUUCCACACCCCAAACCUCAAAUAUUCAAUGCAAGCAAAAGAAGACAAAUCUACAAAUCGAACAGCUUGUCCUAGAAAAGCGGCGCUUAUGUCGGGAGUGGCAAUUCUAUAGAUCGCCAUCUGCUAGGCAGAACUUGAAAUACGCCUCACGGCAACUAACUAAAGCUCUAAAACAAGAAGAAUCAUAUUCCCAGCGCCGUUAUAUAGAGCAACUGUCAUCAACUUGCUCAAAACACUCACUAUGGAGAGCCCACCCAUCUCUUAGCUCACCGAAAGAAACCGUGAUGCCUAUUAGAAACCCCUCAGGCGGCUGGGCGCGCAGCGAUAAAGAUAGAGCCAGCACAUUCGCCGACCACCUUAAAAAUAUCUUUCAACCAAAUCCUGCCACCAAUGCAUGCACUCUGCCGACUUUUGCAUAUGACACCCAGCUUCACCAUGAGCCAAUCGAGUUUCGCCCAUUGGAAAUCGUUAGCAUCAUCAAAAACCAUAUGAACCCGAAAAAAUCUCCAGGCUGCGACCUCAUUACCCCUAAAAUGAUCACGGAGCUUCCAUAUUGUGCCGUUCGCACCAUUACACAUCUCUUCAAUGCCAUCGCUAAACAUGGCCACUUUCCAAAAAGAUGGAAAAAGUCAAUUAUUAUAAUGAUUUCGAAGCCAGGAAAAGACCCCACAAUCCCCACAUCGUACAGACCUAUAAGCCUACUAUCAUGCUUAUCUAAACUUUUUGAAAAAUGCAUAUUAACUCGGAUAAACACAUAUCUACGAAUCCAGAAUGGAAUUCCAUCACACCAAUUCGGAUUUCGAGAAAAACACGGAACGAUUGAGCAGGUCAACCGAAUAACAUAAGAAAUUCGAAACGCGUUCGAAAAACGUGAGUACUGCACCGCCAUAUUUAUGGACGUCUCUCAAGCGUUUGAUAGAGUUUGGCUAGAAGGCCUAAUGUACAAGAUCAAGACAAUGCUUCCCAGCAACACUCACAAACUUUUAGAGUCUUAUCUACACGACAGAAAAUUUGCUGUGAGAUGUAACACUGCCAUAUCUGACGAUUUUUCUAUUUUGGCUGGAGUCGCCCAAGGUAGCGUGCUCGGGCCAACAUUAUAUGUCCUCUACACAGCAGACAUCCCGACAAGCAGUCGACUGACAACAUCUACUUUUGCUGAUGAUACAGCUAUACUCAGCCGUUCAAAAUGUCCAAUACAAGCAACUGCGCAACUAGCUCUUCACUUGGCCGACGUUGAAAAAAUGGCUAUCUGUUUGGCGAAUUAAAGUAAAUGAACAAAAAUGCAAGCACGUUACUUUCACCCUGAAUAGGCAAAACUGCCCACACCUCACAUUAAAUAACACCCUGCUUCCGCAAUCAAACGAAGUAACGUAUCUAGGAGUACAUCUCGACAGAAGACUCACAUGGCGCCGGCACAUUGAAGCCAAAGGAACACACUUAAAGUUGAAAGCCAGUAGCCUACACUGGCUCAUCAACGCUCGAUCUUCCCUUAGGUUAGACUACAAAGUCCUGCUGUACAAUUCAGUACUAAAGCCUAUAUGGACGUACGGCUCCCAGUUAUGGGGGUAUGCUAGCAAUAGCAACAUCGACAUAAUCCAGAGGGCUCAAUCAAAAAUCCUGAGAACGAUCACCGGGGCACCGUGGUACGUUCGCAACGAAAACAUACAUCGUGACUUGAACAUCCCACCAGUCAAAGCAGUUAUCGCAGUACAAAAGGAUAAGUACCUCACCAAGCUAUCUUUGCACCCCAACCACCUUGCAAGAGAUCUAAUAAGUUGUGCAACCAAUCCCGUCUUCGUCGCAAUAACUUACCUACCCAGCGACCAACUUGAGGGACGCGCAACCAAAAUUACAGUCCACUGUUAGUUAAUGUUUAACUUUUAAGAUUCGAAAACUUAUUGUUAGUCUCAAAGCUAAGAGAAGAUUCAAUAAAUUAAGCAAAGUUAAUAAAAAAAAUAUUCUUAAAAUGCUUAAGAAUAUUAUACAAAAAGAUUUUUUUGUGCCAAAGAAUGCCAUCACAACUAAAACUCUAACCAAACACAGAAAUCACCAACCAAGAAAGCUCACAAUUAUGUACUAAAUACAAUAUUGAUUUACACAAAACACAACACA